This 233-nucleotide unclassified non-coding RNA is filed under the name Hevea brasiliensis (rubber tree). The record is from RNAcentral. Lineage: Eukaryota; Viridiplantae; Streptophyta; Magnoliopsida; Malpighiales; Euphorbiaceae.
UUCUUCUUCUUCUUCUUCUUCCAAUCGACUUUCCAUAAUGGUGGAGCUAACCUCAUUGGGGGCAGGCCAAGCACCUUGGUGCAUUUGGUGAAACCUCGAUGAGCCUCUAUGAGGUCACCCACCUUUGCUGGUUUAAGGCCAUGUCUUCCCCGCCCAGUUCACCUCUCGUCUGAGGAGCACCAUUUCACAACUAUGUUCUUAAGUUUGUAGGGAACAAGUAAAAAGGGGGAAAA